Non-coding RNA from Pimephales promelas (fathead minnow), 1102 nucleotides. The record is from RefSeq and is a predicted model, not a curated record. NCBI's taxonomy places the organism in Eukaryota, Metazoa, Chordata, Actinopteri, Cypriniformes, Leuciscidae.
UUAUUCUUGUUUGAGAAGCAGUUUUCAUUUGGAUAUACAACGCUGUAGGGAAGAAAAGCCGAGCACAACUUCACUUUCAGUUCACUGAGAUCCAGAGAUGAAGUUGCCAGUGAAGCGCUGUACCUGCAAGGCCACGAGAGAGAUCAGCAGAAAGACGAGCAGGCGCUGAUUUGCCGGGAUCAUGUUCAAAGGUUUCCAGUGAGACCGGGAUUGAGCCGAACGCUGUUUAUAUCAACGGCUGAUAACAGUAUCAGAGAUCAAUGAUCAGCGGACACUUUAACCACAGAAAUGAGGGCGACUCCACGUCUACAAGGAUUCCUCUGAUCAUGGGGAAAGCAGAGCUGUCAGUCAACACAUGGAUGCUGCUGAUCCAGACACACCCUUCACUGCGAGUUCAGAGCUAUUAUGGGCUGCGUGGAGGUCGUGGGUAACCAUGGUAACGCGUUUCCUGGUGCUCCGGACUGUUUUGACUCUGAUAACCUGUGAAGAGGAAGUUCUCAGUUCGGCAGCAUCACAUGAUCUCAGAGAGUUCAGAAUACCGCUUCCCAAAAUCAACCCCCAGAAAUGCUGGACCCCUCAGAAGCCCUAGUGUGUGUGUUUGUGUGUUUAGUGUCUGGCAUUGUAAGGAAAAUAGACAUUCCUGUCCUGGAAAACUCCUCACUGCUUUAGAAAGACGGGUUAGUCCUAUAAAUGACGCGGACACACGGGCCCCUGUUUGUUUCAUGUAUCUCAUCUGGGCCCCUAAACGUCUAUUGUUGUUUCACGGUCAUGUGCGAAUCAAAUAGAAAGCAAACACAAUGGAGGGUCUGAUCUAGAGGCCCGAUCCUCUUAAACUUCCUUCGCUAUUAACAGGGAUAUUUCUGCUGAUUUAAUCAAACUCUGAGCGUGACUUCAGAAACUCAGUCAGUCAAUUUAAGUGCCGAAUCUGCUAAAUACAGUGAAUGAUUGACAGGAGUGGGUGGAGGGGAGGACAUUAGUGUUUACACUGUAAAUAUAGCCACAUGUGUUUUGACUUCUGAUCAAAGCACUUUUAAUGUGUAAAAAAACUAUAUUAUUUAAAAAAUAUUAGAACGAUUUCUGAAGGAUCAUGUGACACUGGUGA